CGGACGGGUGAGUAAUGUAUGGGGAUCUGCCUGAUGGCGGGGGAUAACUACUGGAAACGGUAGCUAAUACCGCAUAACGUCGCAAGACCAAAGAGGGGACCUUCGGGCCUCUUGCCAUCGGAUGUGCCCAGAUGGGAUUAGCUAGUAGGUAAGGUAACGGCUUACCUAGGCGACGAUCCCUAGCUGGUCUGAGAGGAUGAUCAGCCACACUGGGACUGAGACACGGCCCAG
RNAcentral lists this ribosomal RNA (231 nucleotides) under uncultured bacterium. Its description in RNAcentral is "partial 16S ribosomal RNA". It matches the Rfam family "Bacterial small subunit ribosomal RNA", at positions 99 to 334 of the family's 1533-position model. The record is from RNAcentral.